AACGAACGCUGGCGGCAUGCCUAACACAUGCAAGUCGAACGAGACCUUCGGGUCUAGUUGCGCACGUGUGCGUAACGCGUGGGAACCUGCCCUUAGGUUCCGUAUAACUCCCCGAAAGGGGUGCUAAUACCGGAUAAUGUCUUCGGACCAAAGAUUUAUCGCCUUUGGAUGGGCCCGCGUUGGAUUAGCUAGUUGGUAGGGUAAAAGCCUACCAAGGCGACGAUCCAUAGCUGGUCUGAGAGGAUGAUCAGCCACACUGGGACUGAGACACGGCCCAGACUCCUACGGGAGGCAGCAGUGGGGAAUAUUGGACAAUGGGCGAAAGCCUGAUCCAGCAAUGCCGCGUGAGUGAUGAAGGCCUUAGGGUUGUAAAGCUCUUUUAGCCGGGAUGAUAAUGACAGUACCGGGAGAAUAAGCACCGGCUAACUCCGUG
This 433-nucleotide ribosomal RNA is filed under the name uncultured bacterium. Its description in RNAcentral is "partial 16S ribosomal RNA". It matches the Rfam family "Bacterial small subunit ribosomal RNA", at positions 29 to 507 of the family's 1533-position model. The record is from RNAcentral.